UCCAUCAUGGUCUAGUGGCUAGGAUUUGCCGCUUUCAUUACGAGAGUGCCGGCAAGGCCCGGGUUCAAUUCCCGGUGAUGGAA
Non-coding RNA from Phyllosticta capitalensis, 83 nucleotides. The record is from the annotation of a GenBank genome assembly. NCBI's taxonomy places the organism in Eukaryota, Fungi, Ascomycota, Dothideomycetes, Botryosphaeriales, Phyllostictaceae.